UGAGUAAUACGUCGGAACGUGUCUUCUAGUGGGGGAUAACUGCCCGAAAGGGCAGCUAAUACCGCAUGAGACCUGAGGGUGAAAGCGGGGGAUCGCAAGACCUCGCGCUGGAAGAGCGGCCGAUGUCCGAUUAGCUAGUUGGUGAGGUAAAGGCUCACCAAGGCGACGAUCGGUAGCUGGUCUGAGAGGACGACCAGCCACACUGGGACUGAGACACGGCCCAG
This 224-nucleotide ribosomal RNA is filed under the name uncultured bacterium. Its description in RNAcentral is "partial 16S ribosomal RNA". It matches the Rfam family "Bacterial small subunit ribosomal RNA", at positions 107 to 334 of the family's 1533-position model. The record is from RNAcentral.